Colossoma macropomum (tambaqui) is the source of this 209-nucleotide long non-coding RNA. RefSeq lists it as uncharacterized. The transcript has 3 exons. The record is from RefSeq and is a predicted model, not a curated record. NCBI's taxonomy places the organism in Eukaryota, Metazoa, Chordata, Actinopteri, Characiformes, Serrasalmidae.
AGAUCAGAAACAGCAUUUGGAGAGAAGAACAGAGGAUUCAGUGUGAUCUGAAGGAGGAGAGAUGUCCUCCAAAAUGAGUCUCUCUGAGGAACAGGACACACAGGAAGCUGAGAGACUGAAUCAGGGUAAGAGAUCUGACUCACCUGAACCCAGCUGUGUGUCCAUGAAGAGUGACCAGUCAGAGGGGAGAACAAUAGAGUUCAGAGAUG